Salarias fasciatus (jewelled blenny) is the source of this 165-nucleotide long non-coding RNA. RefSeq lists it as uncharacterized. NCBI's taxonomy places the organism in Eukaryota, Metazoa, Chordata, Actinopteri, Blenniiformes, Blenniidae. The record is from RefSeq and is a predicted model, not a curated record. The transcript has 3 exons.
GUAGUGGAGAGCACCAACGCCUCAGAGGAAGAGGAUCUGAGUCCUAAUCGAAUCUAGACUCAAGUAUGCUUCUUCUAUGUCUGCAGGGAGUUUUCUCCUGGAUUUUCCAACUUGGUCCCAAAACCCAAAGACAUGCAUGUGAGUGUUCAGGAUGUGAAUGUGUGU